AGACUUGAUCAAACCCUUCCUGAAGCUUACUGAAGAAGAAAGAUUCAACUGACAAGCCUGUGAGUCCUAAAAGAAGAAAUGCAGAUUGCUAAGGCAUCAAGGAUUGGGGACUUCACUGAAUCUUGGGGGGUCAAGAAGGGGUCCCCAGAAAGGUGAUGCUCUUGCAGAGACUUGAUGCACAUAAAAGGAGCUUGGGACUUUGGAAGUGGUUUUAAACAUCAGUUCUUGCACCCUCUGCCUGGGAUCGUUUUCUCACCAACACCUGCUGGCUUUGAAUGAAACUCCCUCCCCCUUUAGGGAACUUAUGCAGCUGAAGAGAAAUGGAUGCUGGGAACUGCUUCCAGGGACCUGGAAAUUGAUGAAGACACACACAAGGGCUGCACCUGUGGCCUAUGGAGGUUCCCAGGAUAGGGGCCAAAUCGGAGCUAUAGCUGCCUGGCCUACACAACAGCUACGGCAAUGCCAGAUUCUUAACCCGCUGAUCCAGGCAAGGGAUUGAACCUGAGUCCUCAUGGAUACUAGCAAGGUUCAUUAUCACUGAGCGAGAACUUUGCUUUUCCCUUUUAAAUGUAAUAGUUCGCAUCUACUACCCCCAAACUUCCAGGCUAUCCCACUGUCUCUCCCAAUCCCUUUGGCAACCUCAAGUCUUUUCUCCAUGUUGGUGACUCUGUUUCUGUUCUGUUGAUAGGCACACUUGUGCCACAUUUUAGAUUCUACAUAUAGGUGAUAUCAUACAGUGUUUGUCUUUCUGUGACUCUAGGGUUUGAGGAGAGGUCUGGGGUAGAUCAACAUUUAAGAAUCUCUGACCUGUGCACCGUAUUUAAAGCCCUGGGUAAGAUCACUAUGGAAGUGAGUCUAGAUGGAUGAGAGAAGCAGCCAGAGGCCUCAGCUGUCCUGCCUCUCAAAGUGGUGCAAGAGGAACCCAUUGCACCUGAAGAAAUCAAAGCUGAGGGAGUCAAGCAAUUGGCUUCACAGUGAGCAGCAGAGAUGGGAAUCUAAGCUCAUUGGUCUGGCUCUGAAGUCUGCGUGAUUAACCCCUUAGCAAUAGUCCAAAGGCUGGAGCAAAGAAGUCUUUUCCUGGAGACAUGAAUCAUGGCUGGUUGGCCAGGGCCACACCUCUAACUAUGCUGGGAUAGCAAGCUGUGCCCUCAGGUUUGAGCAAAUAAGACACCUCACUUUUGCUGGUAGAACCAGACGACACAUCCAUCAGCUCCACCUGGUGUAGUACUCAAGGCCCUCGAGGGAGCCAGAAAGAUCUGGUAAUUAAGAAAGAUUCCUUUCCUGAGCUGCAGUGGGUCACAGUGACUGUCAGGGUUAAAAGAUUGAUGGCUUAAUAAAGACCACCUGAAAAGGCAAUUGACCAGCAAGGGAAAAAAAGCAUUGCCACACACCCACUACCGCAGAGUCUCCAUUCAGAGACCCUCCAGCAUAGCAAAGCUGCUUGGAACACUCUGCACCACACAGCACUUGGCCCCAUUUUAUAGCUGCGAACCAUCUUCAGCCACCACAGGAUGCCUCCCUUUAUUCUCUGCAGUGAUAAACGGGACUAUCUUCCUGGUUCCUUGACUGGAUAUGUAGAGGCUACAAGACGUGUCCCUUGCUCUCAGGAGUUCACCGUGUCAUGGGACCAUGACGAUGUUCAAGAUUCUCAAUAAGCCUAGGAUAUCCUUCUGCAAAAGUGCAUUUCUCUAGUGGCCUGGAGAACAAGAGCCCAGAGUGUAAUAGAUGCUUGACAAAUUAUCCAGGGGACUGUGUGUGGAGUCAUAGAGAAAGGGCUCAGAUCUGAGAAUUACGACCAGCCCUGCAGCUCCUCCUCUGCUAAAAAACUAGCUUCUUGACUUCAGAUAAGUCAUUCUUCUUGAAUCUUAGUUUGCCCAUCUGUCAAAAAAGGGGGUUAGAGUAAAUGAUCUUUGGAGAUCUUUGAGAUCUAGGACUGGGAUUUGAAAGGUUUGAAAACCCCAGUAAAAACUCUGUCCUAAAAUCCUGUUAAAUCCCCAAAGGUGUCUUUCACAGGACAGGCAUCCUAGAGGGUUUGAGAGGAGGGAGCAGCUGCAUGUCUCCUGCGUGCCAUCGGCCCUUCUCUUUGUCAAGCCAUCCCUUCCCCAGUACUCCUCAGAUCCCAGCUCCUCAGGGGUUCAGGCUGAUGGGAAACUUGGCUGGACAGGUUGUCAUAGGGCCUCCCAGCAGUGGCAAAAUGGAAAAUCUGUGUGUUACCCUUGCCUCUUCCAGUGUCUGCCAGCAUCAGUGCCUGUGUGGGUUGGGUAGAGCUUCCUCAUGCCUGGGGCCAAGUGGCACUGCAACUGUGAAUUCAGGCAGAUUAAGGCAGAUGGAGAAGAGGAAAGGUACUCUUUUCAUUAUAUACAUCCUGAAAGAGAACUUGCUAUAUAUGCAAGGAGGAAGUUGCUGUCUGGGGCUCCUCAUGAGGUGUUUUCCUAAGGCAGACCUUCUCUUGGGACUGCUCCCUCCGUCCGUGUUGCCAGCACAUCAGUUCUAGCCUGGCUUUUUUUCUCAGCAGGAUGAUUAUGAAGCCUCCAGUGAGAAUCUGUCUCCAAUCUCCUUUCAAUCCAUUUUUUUUUUUUUUAAAUUAAGGAACUGGAGUUAUCCAUUUAAAGAAAAACAAAAGAAAGUUCCCAUUGUGGCUCAGCAGGCUAAGGGCCCGAAAUAGGCUCUGUGACAGUGUGGGUUUGAUCCCUGGCCUCGCUCAGUGGGUUCAGGAUCCGGCACUGGUUUCGAGCUGUGGCGUUAAGUCACAUAUGCAGCUCUGAUCUGGUGUUGCUGUGGCUGCGGUGUAGGCCAGCAGCUGCAGCUUGGAUUCCACCCCUAGCCUGGAAACUUCCUUAUGCUGCCGGUGUGGCUGUGAAAAGAAAAAAA
Molecule: long non-coding RNA, 2871 nt
Filed under: Sus scrofa (pig)
Lineage: Eukaryota; Metazoa; Chordata; Mammalia; Artiodactyla; Suidae
Description: lncRNA (ENSSSCG00045004821.1)
Source: RNAcentral